Molecule: non-coding RNA, 384 nt
Organism: Megalopta genalis
Lineage: Eukaryota; Metazoa; Arthropoda; Insecta; Hymenoptera; Halictidae
Source: RefSeq, a predicted model, not a curated record
GACGCGUGAAAUUCGCGGAAAAAUUUCACAACUCUAUUUAUACAAACGAAAAUGAUAAACCCCCUGAAGAAGGAAUGAAAGGAAUGAAGGAAUGAAAAAAAUACAGAGAGAGGAACUUAACCAGUCAGCCGUUGUAAUCUCUUCGAAAAGCGUGCUAAAAUACGCAAGGCCACGGUCUCUGCACAACAAACUCGCAAGAAGAGGAAAUUUCAUAGUUAUCGCAAGUACAUCGUAGGAUACAUCGAUCGUAAAAGUAUCGCCGUAACAGUAACAAGUUCCUCGAAGUAGUUGGAAAUUACAAGGAUUGUCCACUGUAUAACAAAAUCGGCAAAAACGUAAAAAUUCCCAAUACCGUCAAAGAAUGCUUGGGCAACUACAAACACA